GUGCUCGCCUCAGCAGCACAUAUACUAAAAUUGGAAUGACACUAGCAUGGCCCCUGUGCAAUCACUCAGUAUGUGAAGAAUAUGUUGACACUUGC
Small nuclear RNA from Gorilla gorilla gorilla (western lowland gorilla), 95 nucleotides. Lineage: Eukaryota; Metazoa; Chordata; Mammalia; Primates; Hominidae. The record is from Ensembl.